Long non-coding RNA from Oncorhynchus keta (chum salmon), 774 nucleotides. RefSeq lists it as uncharacterized. NCBI's taxonomy places the organism in Eukaryota, Metazoa, Chordata, Actinopteri, Salmoniformes, Salmonidae. The transcript has 5 exons. The record is from RefSeq and is a predicted model, not a curated record.
UGCUCUGAUAGGUUAGUUUAAUACACUGCUCUGAUAGGGUAGUUUAAUACACUGCUCUGAUAGGGUAGUUUAAUACACUGCUCUGAUAGGGUAGUUUAAUACACUGCUCUGAUAGGGUAGUUUAAUACACUGCUCUGAUAGGGUAGUUUAAUACACUGCUCUGAUAGGGUAGUUUAAUACACUGCUCUGAUAGGGUAGUUUAAUACACUGCUCUGAUAGGGUAGUUUAAUACACUGCUCUGAUAGGGUAGUUUAAUACACUGCUCUGAUAGGGUAGUUUUAUACACUGCUCUGAUAGGGUAGUUUAAUACACUGCUCUGAUAGGGUAGUUUAAUACACUGCUCUGAUAGGGUAGUUUAAUACACUGCUCUGAUAGGGUAGUUUAAUACACUGCUCUGAUAGGGUAGUUUAAUACACUGCUCUGAUAGGGUAGUUUAAUACACUGCUCUGAUAGGGUAGUUUAAUACACUGCUCUGAUAGGGUAGUUUAAUACACUGCUCUGAUAGGGUAGUUUAAUACACUGCUCUGAUAGGGUAGUUUAAUACACUGCUCUGAUAGGGUAGUUUAAUACACUGCUCUGAUAGGGUAGUUUUAUACACUGCUCUGAUAGGGUAGUUUAAUACACUGCUCUGAUAGGGUAGUUUAAUACACUGCUCUGAUAGGGUAGUUUUAUACACUGCUCUGAUAGGGCAGUUUAAUACACUGCUCUGAUAGGGUAGUUUUAUACACUGCUCUGAUAGGGUAGUUUAAUACACUGCUCUGAUAGGGUAGUUUA